CCUGGCUCAGGACGAACGCUGGCGGCGUGCCUAAUACAUGCAAGUCGAGCGGACCGACGGGAGCUUGCUCCCUUAGGUCAGCGGCGGACGGGUGAGUAACACGUGGGUAACCUGCCUGUAAGACUGGGAUAACUCCGGGAAACCGGGGCUAAUACCGGAUGCUUGAUUGAACCGCAUGGUUCAAUCAUAAAAGGUGGCUUUUAGCUACCACUUACAGAUGGACCCGCGGCGCAUUAGCUAGUUGGUGAGGUAACGGCUCACCAAGGCGACGAUGCGUAGCCGACCUGAGAGGGUGAUCGGCCACACUGGGACUGAGACACGGCCCAGACUCCUACGGGAGGCAGCAGUAGGGAAUCUUCCGCAAUGGACGAAAGUCUGACGGAGCAACGCCGCGUGAGUGAUGAAGGUUUUCGGAUCGUAAAACUCUGUUGUUAGGGAAGAACAAGUACCGUUCGAAUAGGGCGGCACCUG
This 471-nucleotide ribosomal RNA is filed under the name Bacillus licheniformis. RNAcentral describes it as "bacterial SSU rRNA". It matches the Rfam family "Bacterial small subunit ribosomal RNA", at positions 18 to 481 of the family's 1533-position model. The record is from RNAcentral. Lineage: Bacteria; Bacillati; Bacillota; Bacilli; Caryophanales; Bacillaceae.